Molecule: ribosomal RNA, 253 nt
Filed under: uncultured bacterium
Lineage: Bacteria
Description: partial 16S ribosomal RNA
Rfam family: Bacterial small subunit ribosomal RNA
Source: RNAcentral
GACAGAGGGUGCAAACGUUGUUCGGAAUUACUGGGCGUAAAGCGUGCGUAGGCGGUUUGUUAAGUCCGCUGUGAAAGCCCUGGGCUCAACCUGGGAAUUGCAGUGGAUACUGGCAAGCUAGAGUGCGGUAGAGGAUGGUGGAAUUCCCGGUGUAGCGGUGAAAUGCGUAGAGCUCGUGAGGAAGACCGGUGGCGAAGGCGGAUCCCUGGACGGCCCCUGACGCUGAGGCGCGAAGGCUAGGGGAGCAAACGGG